Molecule: ribosomal RNA, 108 nt
Filed under: Microcebus murinus (gray mouse lemur)
Lineage: Eukaryota; Metazoa; Chordata; Mammalia; Primates; Cheirogaleidae
Source: RNAcentral
AUCCAUGGCCAUAUUACCCUGAACACAGAUGAUCUCAUCUGAUUUGGGAAGCUAAGCAGGGUCAGGCCUGGUCAGUACUUGGAUAGGAGAGAGCAAAAUCUGAGGGUC